Homo sapiens (human) is the source of this 760-nucleotide long non-coding RNA. NCBI's taxonomy places the organism in Eukaryota, Metazoa, Chordata, Mammalia, Primates, Hominidae. The record is from Ensembl.
UAUGUAAUUACAUGUAUGUAAGUGCUGCAAAGAAGAAAAUGUAAAAAUGUAUGAAGAGCUGUAACAGAGGAAACUGACUUUUAAAGUGGUGAGCUGGCUUCCCUAAAGAAAGGCAUUUAAGGAAAUCUGAGGAAGGAGAGGGAUAGUCUGCCUUCAGAGUUUUGUUUUUGAGAUAGGUCUCACUGUCACCCAGGCUGAGAGGCUGAGAUCAUAGCUCACUUCGUCCUCGCGUCUCCAGCACAGGUCCGGGUUUCUCCACCCAAUGCGCCUGCGCACAGGCCUAGCCCAGUCGGACGCAGCCCAGGACUGCCAGGGGUGGGGAUUGCCUGGGUCCCCCAGGAAGGGCCGGGUUACGUCCGGAAAAGUGAGGCCCGGGGUUCCAGUUAAUUGUUACCGGAAGUGGAGGGAAGCGUUGCCAGGGGAGGGCGGAGACUGUGGCUGACAAGAUGGGUGGCAGGCCCUUCCCUGGGGGUAUCGAGGUAGGGACGUUUGUGGCUACGUCUGUCCUAGAGGAGGAGACGAUGCCAGGGGAGAGGGAGACGCAGACACUGGGACUGGGUCGCCAGCAGAGGGCCUCGGAAGCCAAGCCACCCCGUCUGAAGACGCUUCUCCUUACGGAGCCCAGAAGCGCGAACGGAGACUGCGCAGAUCCCGUGCGCUGCGCCGGAAACGGAUGCAUAGUCUCGGACACCAGCUCAGACCUGCCGCCUGGCCAGGUCCGUGCGCGUUUGUAGUUUGUAAAGAAAUGUUCUAAUGUGUA